UAUUUUGGAGAUUUACCCAAGCAUUAAUUAAGUUUUAUCUUCUCAAAACAAUUGUCCAGACUAUAUUCUGCUUCUGCGUUUUCAUCUUUCAAUUUUUCAACCUAACCAUUACUUUCUUCAAUCCAUUUGUAAAUUGGGAAAAAAUUGAUUCAUCAACAUCAAAUUCAUCCAUCCUAUUUACUCUCCACUCAUACCGUUUCUUCUCUCUCAUCUUUGGGGAAAAUGCCCUAAGAAACUCAUCUCUGUCAUGAAACUCCAUAAUCUCUCACGGUUCCAUAAUCUCAACUUAUUCCUCGCGGAUUUGCAAUUGAAGAUCCUUGAAUUACUGUUCAUGAUUUGUAAGUGUGGCGUCCUUGAAAGAUUGGUAUACAAGAACAAGAACCAACAUUGCCGCUGUUCCUAUUUCCAGCAUCUUAUGAAGGUGAGGAGGGAUUUAAGGCUUCUGCAGUUGGCGAACUUGGAGGAGCUUGUAAAAUCAUGCUUCUCUGUUAUCUAAGAGGAUAGACCAAAACAGAAGAUUCAUCUUUUAGAGAGAUAGGUUUAUGUUAUUUAUUUUUUUAAUUUUUUUUUUUGGAGUUUUCCUAAUUAUAUGUGCGGAGGUUUAAUUUAGAUAUUAAACAAAGAUAACUGAGGAGGUGACAUAAUUGUGUGUAUAAAACAUGUAGAGUGUCUUUUUCUGUUCACAUUUCAUGCAUAAUGCAUUUCAUCUCUUACCACUGCAACACCCCUUAAUGACCGAUUCAUGUACAAAAAUUCUUGUUUCAUUUAAUGCGGGAUUGCACAAAGAAAUGCAAGAAAUCGGAAAAAGCAAAAAAACCCUUAUAUACUAGGAACUAAGUUGCUUGUGAGGAAAAGAGAUGAGUUGGUAUGGUUUUUUGGUUAUAAGUUCUUUUUGGUUCUGGUUUUGUUCUUUAGCUUACAGAUCUAUUUCCCAAAGAAAGCAAUAAUUUGAACAAUUCUUUAGGGUCUGUUUAGUUUUUUAUUUUUUAUUUGAGAGGAGGUGAGGAGAAGGGAGGAAAGUCAAAUCCCUCCUAAUCUAAUUUUAUCUCUCCUCCAAUCCUCAAAUUUUUUCGAUCUCGACUUAGCGAAGUUUAAGUAUAUUUUCUUUAUUUUGUCUUUUGUUUCAUUAGCUUCUACCAUGGAAUUGUUAGACAACUUAUGUUUGGUGGUUUUGAUGAACUAUGCGUUUGGACUUUAUCUCAGUGCACAACUUAUGUUAAACAGAUUUACUUUGUACUUGCAUAAUCUUAAUGAAGAGUUACUUUAUCGGCAAGGUUAUUUGCACCACAGUAUAUUAAGUGCAUUUUUUGAAUGAUCUCCGGCUUUCCUGAAUUGUUAUCUAUCACCACAAUUAUGACGAGCUAUAUUUUGAAACUUAAGUUCCAAAGAUUUGUUAGAGAAAUCACGAAGUAUUUCAAAACAGAUCUCCGAUUUUAGAGUAGUACUGUUUCUUCUCUUCAAGAAGCCAGUGUAGCUUAUCUUGUUGGUUUUUUUUAAGAUAAUAAUAUAUGUUGUAUUCAUGUGAACUGCUAAGAUAUUUAUCAGUUAUUACUGUGCCUAAGGUUAUCAGUUAUGCAGGUUAAGCUAUUAGUCUAUUGUGACAAUGCUAUUAGUCUAUUAUUGUAUACUAGGAACUAAGCCUUUUGAUUGAUUAUAUAUCUAAUUGAACAAGUAAUUAUUAUAUGUGCUUACAUAGUUAAUACCUUUUAAAAUGGAGACUACCUGACUUUAAUAUCUUUUUUUUUUCUAUAUAAUUUUGCUUCUAUUUAAGCUUAUAGGGUGAUGGCUAUCUAGCUUGUGAAGUUUGUGUUUCGGCCUACAUAUUGUUUUUGUUUUCUUACUGUAGUAUUAUUUGGUAUAAAGUUUCAUGUUGUAUUGUUUUCCGAUUUGAUAAAGUUUCGAAAGUUGGAGAGGUUCUGGUUUGAUUAACUCACACACGAGCUGCUGCUUUAAGUGAAACUGGACAGUUUCCACCAAAACUAUUGAAGGAGGUCGUAUGAGAAGAAAUUAUGUGCUCUGUUAAUUUCGAAGACAAUGAACCUUCAAGUUUUUUUGAUUGGCAGACAUCUGAAACAUCUUUUCAACCUUUGAUUUCUCAAGAUUAAGGGUUUUCCUCUAUAUGAUUUUCCUGCAUAUUAUGAUAUUAAACACUUUUGUUUGAUUUAGCUUAUCUAACUUUUGUGUUGCUAUUUUUGGGUUCAGCAACUUCAUAAAUGAUGCAGCCAAGAAAGGUAGUGAUUCCAAACUUCUGAAUGCGCCAAAGGAUCCGAAUAUUCCUCAUAUAGAUGCGGAUAUUGAAGAUCCUCAACUAUACAGCUUCUAUGGCUUUUAGAGGUCUCUAUUUGUAGCUGCAUGCUCUGUUUUGUUUCAAUCCUCCGACCGGUACAGCUUGUUCAGGCGAAGAGUAUUAGUAAAGUUUUAAUGGUUUUCUUUAGCAGAAUGCUUUCGAUGUAAUGAACAAAAAUGUAAAUAGAUAUUUGAAGUUAUUUAAAAUGCUAAUACAUGAUUCUAAUCUUAUCA
This is a long non-coding RNA of Medicago truncatula (barrel medic), 2520 nucleotides long. RefSeq lists it as uncharacterized. Lineage: Eukaryota; Viridiplantae; Streptophyta; Magnoliopsida; Fabales; Fabaceae. The transcript is spliced from 3 exons. The record is from RefSeq and is a predicted model, not a curated record.